CCUACGGGAGGCAGCAGUGAGGAAUAUUGGUCAAUGGACGUAAGGCUGAACCAGCCAAGUAGCGUGCGGGAAGACUGCUCUAUGAGUUGUAAACCGCUUUUAUGCGAGGGUAAACGUGUAUACGCGUAUCUGUUUGCAGGUACCGCAUGAAUAAGGAACGGCUAAUUCCGUGCCAGCAGCCGCGGUAAUACGGAGGGUUCAGGCGUUAUCCGGAUUUAUUGGGUUUAAAGGGAGCGUAGGCGGUUGGUUAAGCUUGCCGUGAAAUUUUGUGGCUCAACUGUGGAAGUGCCGCGCGUACUGGCUACCUUGAGUGCACGUAAGGCAGGCGGAAUGCGUGGUGUAGCGGUGAAAUGCUUAGAUAUCAUGAAGAACCCCGAUUGCGAAGGCAGCCUGCC
Molecule: ribosomal RNA, 395 nt
Filed under: uncultured bacterium
Lineage: Bacteria
Description: partial 16S ribosomal RNA
Rfam family: Bacterial small subunit ribosomal RNA
Source: RNAcentral